RNAcentral lists this ribosomal RNA (47 nucleotides) under Pleosporales sp. RNAcentral describes it as "partial 28S ribosomal RNA". The record is from RNAcentral. Lineage: Eukaryota; Fungi; Ascomycota; Dothideomycetes; Pleosporales.
GCAAGCUAAAUUUCUAGUCUUGACCUCGGAUCAGGUAGGGAUACCCG